GUCAGGUGUGGUGGCACACACCUGUAAUCCCAGCUACUUGGGAGGCUGAGGCAGGAGAAUCACUUGAACUCAGGAGAUGGAGGUUGCAGUGAGCCGAGAUUGCGCCACUGCACUCCAGCCUGAGUAACAGAGUGAGACUCUGUCUCAA
This 148-nucleotide small RNA is filed under the name Macaca fascicularis (crab-eating macaque). Its description in RNAcentral is "Metazoan signal recognition particle RNA (ENSMFAG00000059557.1)". Lineage: Eukaryota; Metazoa; Chordata; Mammalia; Primates; Cercopithecidae. The record is from Rfam by way of RNAcentral.